Molecule: ribosomal RNA, 253 nt
Filed under: uncultured bacterium
Lineage: Bacteria
Description: partial 16S ribosomal RNA
Rfam family: Bacterial small subunit ribosomal RNA
Source: RNAcentral
UACGGGGGGGGCAAGCGUUGUUCGGAAUUACUGGGCGUAAAGGGCUCGUAGGUGGCCAACUAAGUCAGACGUGAAAUCCCUCGGCUUAACCGGGGAACUGCGUCUGAUACUGGAUGGCUUGAGCUCGGGAGAGGGAUGCGGAAUUCCAGGUGUAGCGGUGAAAUGCGUAGAUAUCUGGAGGAACACCGGUGGCGAAGGCGGCAUCCUGGACCGACACUGACACUGAGGAGCGAAAGCCAGGGGAGCAAACGGG